CGCUGGCGGCGUGCCUAACACAUGCAAGUCGAACGAGAAAGGGAUUUCGGUCCUGAGUAUAGUGGCGUACGGGUGAGUAACACGUGAAUCAUCUACCCUCGAGUGGGGAAUAACCAAAGGAAACUUUGGCUAAUACCGCAUAAGACUACACGAGCUUCGGCUCGAGAAGUUAAAGGAGCAAUUCGCCGAGAGAUGAGUUUGCGCCCGAUUAGCUAGUUGGUGAGGUAAUGGCUCACCAAGGCGACGAUCGGUAGCUGGUCUGAGAGGACGGCCAGCCACACUGGGACUGAGACACGGCCCAGACUCCUACGGGAGGCAGCAGUAGGGAAUAUUGCACAAUGGAGGAAACUCUGAUGCAGCGACGCCGCGUGAGUGACGAAGGCCUUCGGGUUGUAAAGCUCUGUUCUCAGGGAAAAAGAAAGUGAUUGUACCUGAGAAGAAAGGAUCGGCUAACUUCGUGCCAGCAGCCGAGGUAAGACGAGGGAUCCUAGCGUUGUUCGGAAUCAUUGGGCGUAAAGCGAAUGUAGGCUGCCAUUCAAGUCAGUUGUGAAAGCCCCGGGCUCAACCCGGGAAGUGCUUCUGAUACUGUUUGGCUUGAGUACUG
This 604-nucleotide ribosomal RNA is filed under the name uncultured bacterium. RNAcentral's name for it is "bacterial SSU rRNA". It matches the Rfam family "Bacterial small subunit ribosomal RNA", at positions 34 to 651 of the family's 1533-position model. The record is from RNAcentral.